UGAAUCAAGGUUUAAACCUCGAGAUAGC
This 28-nucleotide small RNA is filed under the name Bombyx mori (domestic silkworm). RNAcentral's name for it is "ovarian small RNA-7989". The record is from RNAcentral. Lineage: Eukaryota; Metazoa; Arthropoda; Insecta; Lepidoptera; Bombycidae.